CUAAUGGAUUUUGCAUCAAAAGGAAGGAGGAAGCACAAAAGGAAAUGGCACUAUGACUGUGCCUUUUAAACAACAAUUCUGGAAAGUGCUUAUGAUUCAGCCUUUGCUGAAAUCCUGGGCUCAGUGAAAUCAGUGGGAAUUUUAGUUUCAACCCGGAUAGCUAGCUUAUGUGUUACCGCCAUUGCUUAAUUAGCAUCUGCUCCAGCUAAGAAUACAUUUCUUGAUAUGUAGUACAUAUUGCAAACACUUAAAUUCAGUGCAUGUCUAAAUUCAAGCUUUCUUUUCCACAAAGCAUGGGAUCAGUGACCUGGAAACCAGCUACACUCAGCAGGAUUGUUACACCCAGAAAGAGUACAAGUAUCACAUCAUUAGAUGAUUGGACCAAGUCUGUCAAAAGAAGAACCAGACACCUUUCUCCAAAUGUGCAAAGUAUUCUUAUAAUACACUUCUGAAUCAUCACAGACUCUCAUUCCCAUUCUGGCUAUUUUACAGAACUUGCAGUUGUAAAGGGUGAAAUUCCACAACUGACAAAACAUUAGUCACAAAGCAACAGAACACCAUUUACGUAGUUGAAAACAGUUGCUCUAAACUAUAUUUCUAAGACUUGGAGCAAUUGUGUUGUGAUGUAAAUCUGGAGCCACAAUAUCUCUCAGAAUGAACUGUAACUCUUAACGGCAAAAAAACAACUCCCAAUUACAUUGCAGAGAAGUUGAAUUAAAUUUAAUUCAGUUCUUAACGUUGCUAAUCUAAAAAAAGCUCUGGUCACUAAUAACAUGUCUAAUGGAAGAAAGGACUAGUUAAUCUCUUACAAUCUACUAGCAGCCUAAGCACAACUUCCAAACUCAGACUAACUAAGGAUGACAAUGUCCUCCAUGACCAUAAAGCUCAAGCUGAACCAAAUAAGCUAAAAGCUAUUAUGGCCUAUCCAAACUCUUCUGCUGCCUAAUCACUAAUAAUUUCAGUAAGGAGGUUUCAAGAUUUAGUUCAUCCUCUUGAAAAAAAUAGAGCACCAUUCACCAGGAACUACCAGUAGCUGCUGCAGUAGUCUAGGAUUUAGGUAGAAGCUAUGAAGCUAGAAAUACAGGUUCAAUGAAUGGUUCCGUUGAUGGUACUGUCACUCAGUGGCCAGGAAAAGCACUAACAGGUAAAGCACUCUGCUGUCUGGGAAGCAAUCUGCUCUAACAGGAUGCCUGCUGAGCAAUCAGAAACAACAUUUACCAACCUCCCAACCAGAAGACAUUGUUAGAAGCAUAAAGACAUUGUCAGAGAAAGGUAGGAGGUUAAACAGAUGAGGAAAUAUGCCUUUUUUAAAGAAGACCACAAGCUACGUCUUGAUAUUUAUGAGCAAAACACAGCCAGCAGGAGGAGGAGAGGAAGAAACAGCCAAUGUCUGUCUAUUCCAUAGCACUACAAGAUCACCAACAAACGGUGCUGGUUGCCUUACUCCCAUUUUCUAUCAGACAUUAAGCUCCACAAUACCCAAAGUCCUCUUGUUCCAGGAAAAGAGAUGAAGAGAACUAAUAGGUCAAACUGAAAGGGCCCAAACAAAUUUUGGUUGAAGUCAUUCCAUCAGCUUUGAUGGGAGUUCAAACAGGCCCUUUGAAAGCAAAUAACAUAAAUUAUCUUGCAAUUAUCUUUUUAUGAGAUUAUGCAACAGUUUUGAUGAAACAGCUGAUGAUUAAUUUAGGAUUCAACAUUCAUUUUCCCAGGAGUCUUGUAAAUAUAUAAAAGAUCAUAACAUAUAAUUUCAAAUCAGGAAGAGCAAUUAUUGUAAAGAAAUCUCAUGUUUCAGACCAGCCAGCAGAUACAGAACUGCGAGCAAAACAAAGCUAAAAGUGAACAUCACAGACUGUAAUAAAGAAUACCUCUUGACUUGUCUAAAAACAGUGAGAUUUGCAGUAGUCAUAGGGAAUAUCUGGCACAUGCACUGAUUUGAAUUAAUAUUCCCACCAUCAGUGUUGCCAAUAUUUUACAGAUCAUCUGCAAGCACACUGCUUGCAAAAUUUAUCUGAAUGUAAAUGCCAGUUAAAGAAAGUAUAUUUUUUAUUUAUUCAACAGAAGAACCAAGAACAAUAGACAUUAUUUGCUUUUACAGUGCCAAGAUUAUGUUAACUUAUUUAUAAUCUUGUAGUAUACCAAGAAUUCAACCAUGACUAUAGCCUCAUUUUGCACAUACACUUUGUUAGCUGUUUGGACGAGGGCUGUUUAUUACAGCAGCAACAUAGACAAAGAGAGGAAGUGUGCUCAGAGUGAGUCUUAUCACUCCCCUAAGAGACCACAAUCUUACAAGUCUUAGACAAGCUGAGAACUGAGUCCAGAUUUCCAAGAAACCUAAUCAAAUACUGUUUCUCUGUUCUCCUACAUGCCUCACAGCACUGAUAAAAAAAAACACAGAUAUUUUAGAUAUGAUGCUAUAGCAAGAAUUAACAGAGCAGUAUAGGGUGGGGGAAAGGAUCUUGUGAUUAACAUUAUAUAAAUAUCAAUCGAUGGUUAGCAUUUAAUAUUAGUUGGUACCAUGUUUGUCAAUAAAAUUCUAACCAUUGAUACUAUCUCAAAGCUAACAUAAUAGGUGUUAUUCUUGAAGAAGUAUUUGAAUUAAAGCAUAGCUGCCUUGCAGACUAGUUCAGGAAAAGUGCAUAAAAGAAAGCAAAGGAGAAACACAGAAAUGUGAAUUCAGCUUGGCAUUUCAAACAAAGUCACCAAAAAUUCAAUAAUGUGAGCUCAUCACUACAAAGCCAGAGCAGUGUCAGUCCUCCUUCCAGAGAGCUUCAAAUCCAAGUGCUUGAUCAUAUGCAGCACUCAUCUUCCUUGGCAUUUCACUGAUUUCUAUUGAUAUAUAGGUACUGAUUUCUUCUUGGGAUCAGUUCAUAAAAGGUGACAGAAAUAGGACAUGGGAAAUGAAGAGGUCCUUAGCAUGGAGGCUGCAUCUAUUUAAAAAUCCAGAAUUUUAUAUGCAAAUUAAUGAUCAGCAUGUAUUUUUGAUAGCAGAUGCAAAAUGCUAAUGUAUGACUGUAUUUGCACAAAGGUAGGCUUUAUAUUCUGUGAAGCAGGCAUUUCAGAGUCAGAGCUCCUUGCUUCUUUCCUUUCUCUACCACUACUCAUCAGUGAAAACCUCCUCCUACCUCAAAUUACUGAUCUAAAAAAUGGACAGGGGUAUUACCUGAUAAGCAUCCUGCAAGCUGUAAUUAAUAUCUAAUUGAACCAUAGAAUGUUGCUAAAAAAUUACUUGGUUUAUUGUAGAAAAAUAUAAAAGACAGUAAAUUUUGGCAGUGGAGACACAGGCACUGGUUUGGAGCUAGUUUGCUUCCUCAGCAGAAAACUGUUUCCCUCUAAUCAUUUUGUGGAAAUAGUGGGGCCUUUUACUUAUGUAACAAAGUAGAGUAGGAAGGUGAGGCACCCAGUCCCCAGAUUCUAUGCCCUCAGUAUCAGCUCUGUCUUUGUCUCUACUAUGGGGAAAUUCUCUGCACCUAAGACCUCUCCACUUAUUUUUUCAGCAUCUUCCUACACCAGGGAAGAACCCAUCCCCACGCUCCAAUAUUUCACAUAAGAUCAAUUCAUUUUGUACUAGAAAUGUUUUAAUAUCAGGCUGUUAAUACAGGUGAAGAAUUCCAGUUAUGUAUAUGUGAGCAUGGAAGAACUUUGUAGUCAACAGAAAAUGCAAUGCAACCUGCAAAGACAACAAAACUGUGAAUCUCAAAAUAUUAUUGUGGUGAUUGAUUGUAGAGAAAAGUUCAUGGAUAGAUAAAGAUUUCUUUUUUGUAGUGUAUCUUAACAACAUGCAUCUUAGAUUGCUGUAUAUAAAAGUUACAGUUACAUUAACAGAUAAUACAAAACAUGAUCAGAGUUUAUUAAUGUUGUGGCAAGACAUGCAGAAGGGAAGGGGUUUCACUAAAUGGAAGCAAUAAAAUAAUAAAACUUGUGGCAUGCAUGAAAAAUCUGG
Molecule: long non-coding RNA, 3940 nt
Organism: Aquila chrysaetos chrysaetos
Lineage: Eukaryota; Metazoa; Chordata; Aves; Accipitriformes; Accipitridae
Exons: 2
Source: RefSeq, a predicted model, not a curated record